UUAAUCAUAGUAAAACUAUUACAUAGCCUUUUCACGGCUAAAUUCCUUCACUGUAAGGUGAUUAAU
Molecule: transfer RNA, 66 nt
Filed under: Melaenis sp. YZ-2018
Lineage: Eukaryota; Metazoa; Annelida; Polychaeta; Phyllodocida; Polynoidae
Description: tRNA-Glu
Source: RNAcentral